RNAcentral lists this ribosomal RNA (480 nucleotides) under uncultured bacterium. RNAcentral's name for it is "bacterial SSU rRNA". It matches the Rfam family "Bacterial small subunit ribosomal RNA", at positions 28 to 487 of the family's 1533-position model. The record is from RNAcentral.
AAUGAACGCUGGCGGCGUGCUUAACACAUGCAAGUCGAGCGAGGCCUGGGGGGCAACUCCCAGAGUCGAGCGGCGGACGGGUGAGUAACACGUGGGUAACCUGCCCGGAAGUGGGGAAUACCUCGGGGAAACUCGAGCUAAUACCGCAUGACAUCUUUGGGACGAAAGUCCUGACGAUCAAAGCGGGGUCGCAAGAUCUCGCGCUACCGGAUGGGCCCGCGCCCGAUUAGCAGUUGGUGAGGUAACGGCUCACCAAGGCUUCGAUCGGUAACCGGCCUGAGAGGGCGAUCGGUCACACCGGAACUGAGACACGGUCCGGACUCCUACGGGAGGCAGCAGUGGGGAAUCUUGCGCAAUGGGCGAAAGCCUGACGCAGCAACGCCGCGUGGAGGAUGAAGGCCCUUGGGUUGUAAACUCCUGUCGGCUGGGAAGAAGUCGUGCGGUGCUCAUACCACCGUGCGUUGACUGUACCAGCAAAGG